Molecule: ribosomal RNA, 253 nt
Filed under: uncultured bacterium
Lineage: Bacteria
Description: partial 16S ribosomal RNA
Rfam family: Bacterial small subunit ribosomal RNA
Source: RNAcentral
UACGGGGGGGGCAAGCGUUGUUCGGAAUUACUGGGCGUAAAGGGCUCGUAGGUGGCCAACUAAGUCAGACGUGAAAUCCCUCAGCUUAACUGGGGAACUGCGUCUGAUACUGGAUGGCUUGAGUUUGGGAGAGGGAUGCGGAAUUCCAGGUGUAGCGGUGAAAUGCGUAGAUAUCUGGAGGAACACCGGUGGCGAAGGCGGCAUCCUGGACCAACACUGACACUGAGGAGCGAAAGCCAGGGGAGCAAACGGA